Non-coding RNA from Misgurnus anguillicaudatus (oriental weatherfish), 1180 nucleotides. Lineage: Eukaryota; Metazoa; Chordata; Actinopteri; Cypriniformes; Cobitidae. The record is from RefSeq and is a predicted model, not a curated record.
UGCUAUGUUGCUCCAUUUCACGAAGCAAAAUAAGUCUGAGGUAGCACCAUCCUUGUGGUUUGAGUUGAACAAUGGGGGUAUUGAGACCAAAAUGAACAAUGUGCCACUCUAGACAGCUGUGGACAAAAUAUGCAUUCAGAGUAUUUUCUCAAACAGAGAGAGAAUUCCAGGCCAAAAGGACUCAACAGAGACAACAUUAUGAGGAGCAACCAGUACAUCAAAGCAAAAAGAUGCUAUGAUAUUGUCUGAGGCACCUUAUUUUCCAUGUCCUUCACAAUCACAACUGCAGCACACCAGUCAAUUUCUGCCAUUCAGAAGAAUCAGAAAGAAAUCUUGGAUUGGAAAAUCAUUCUGAAAGUAGACUAAAUUCAGGACAACAUCACAGCAGUGGUCGGAAAAACAUCAGUCAAUGAGCAAGCCAAGCUAACUUUCCAAAGAUGAUUUGUUAUCUGUCUUCAGAGGGAAGGCAGCUUGGAGGAUGCUACAGCUACACAGGGAGAAUUUCAGCAGCUCAGUUUCAUACUUGCAACUAAUAAUGAAUAAUAGUUAGAAGACAGCGGAAAGAAUUGACAUCGCAGAGACACACACCAAGAGACACGCACACACACGCAGCUGAAGCGAGUUUGACUGACGCGCAUGGGAGAUCGGGCACCGUGCACGCACACACAAACAUGGAGCACAGCAUAAUUACAACUGUUGGAUUAAAAUAAAAUUACUUUGUGGUAUACAAUGUUUCUCGUGUCUGUUUUCAUGUUUUCAUUGGUUAGCAGGGAAAUAAAAUGACUUGCUGAGGACUUUAGGCGAACGUCCCCUAAAAGUCCCAAAAGUCUGCUGAACGUCCUGCGAACGUCCCUGUGAAAGUCCGGAGGCGUCGUCGCGGACGUCCGCUCGACGUAACGGGUACCCUACACAAUGACGUCUGUGGGACGUUCGCAGAGAACGUUUAGGGGACGUCCUGGGGACCUUUUUUGUUAGCUGGGAGCUGGCUGUCCAAUGACAUGGUUGGCCUAACGUUGGCCCAACGUUGUUUUAGUGGUUUUUAAGUUGGCAGAAGGUUGGUAAGGUUUUUUUUAGGUUGGCAGAAGGUCUGCUGGCCGUCCAAUAACAUGGUUGGCCCAACGUUGGCCCAACGGACAAAAUUACGUUGGGCCAACGUCAGCACCCAACGUUGGCCCAACAC